UCCGGUUUGGCAACAUGUGACGGGGGUUGCGCUCGUUGCGGGACUUAACCCAACAUCUCACGACACGGGCUGACGACAGCCAUGCACCACCUGUGAAGGUGCCCCGAAGGGAAGACGUGUUUCCACGCCGGUCACCUACAUGUCAAGCCGAGGUAAGGUUCUGCGCGUUGCAUCGAAUUAAACCACACGCUCCGCUGCUUGUGCGGGCCCCCGUCAAUUCCUUUGAGUUUUAGCCUUGCGGCCGUAGUCCCCAGGCGGCGGACUUAGUGCGUUAGCUGCGGCGCCGAGGGGGUCGAUACCCCCGACACCUAGUCCGCAUCGUUUACGGCGUGGACUAC
This 338-nucleotide unclassified non-coding RNA is filed under the name uncultured bacterium. RNAcentral's name for it is "contains 16S-23S intergenic spacer region". The record is from RNAcentral.